CCUACGGGAGGCAGCAGUGGGGGAUAUUGCACAAUGGGGGGAACCCUGAUGCAGCGACGCCGCGUGGGUGAAGGAGCGUUUCGGCGCGUAAAGCCCUAUCGGCAGGGAAGAAGGAGGACGGUACCUGACUAAGAAGCCCCGGCUAACUACGUGCCAGCAGCCGCGGUAAUACGUAGGGGGCAAGCGUUAGCCGGAUUUACUGGGUGUAAAGGGGGCGCAGACGGCAGCGCAAGCCAGGGGUGAAAGCCCGGGGCCCAACCCCGGGACUGCUUUUGGAACUGCGCGGCUGGAGUGCAGGUGGAGCAGGCGGAAUGCGGGGUGUAGCGGUGAAAUGCGUAGAUAUCAGGAGGAACACCGAGGGCGAAGGCAGCCUGCUGAUCGGCAACUGACGUUGAUGCCCGAAAGCGUGGGUAGCGAACAGGAUUAGAUACCCGGGUAGUC
Molecule: ribosomal RNA, 441 nt
Filed under: uncultured bacterium
Lineage: Bacteria
Description: partial 16S ribosomal RNA
Rfam family: Bacterial small subunit ribosomal RNA
Source: RNAcentral